UGCCCCGUCGUCUAACGGUAAGACAGCGGACUCUGACUCCGUCAAUCGAGGUUCGAAUCCUCGCGGGGCAUCCA
RNAcentral lists this transfer RNA (74 nucleotides) under Novosphingobium sp. Gsoil 351. RNAcentral describes it as "tRNA-Gln". It matches the Rfam family "tRNA". From Rfam's summary of the family: Transfer RNA (tRNA) molecules are approximately 80 nucleotides in length. Their secondary structure includes four short double-helical elements and three loops (D, anti-codon, and T loops). Lineage: Bacteria; Pseudomonadati; Pseudomonadota; Alphaproteobacteria; Sphingomonadales; Sphingomonadaceae. The record is from RNAcentral.